GGGUCAACGCCCGAGUGGCUCAUGGGGGCGGAUUGUAAAUCCAUUGGCAAUAUGCCGACGCUGGGUCAAAUCCAGCUUGACCCA
This 84-nucleotide transfer RNA is filed under the name Araucaria heterophylla. RNAcentral's name for it is "tRNA-Tyr". It matches the Rfam family "tRNA". Rfam says of the family: Transfer RNA (tRNA) molecules are approximately 80 nucleotides in length. The record is from RNAcentral. Lineage: Eukaryota; Viridiplantae; Streptophyta; Pinopsida; Araucariales; Araucariaceae.